CCCCUCAAAGUGCCAAAACUGCAAUUAAACCUGAAUACUGAGGUUUAAGUUUAGAAAAAACAACUCAUACAGUUGUCCGAACUAAUUAACAUCUCUGUGUGUGUAUUAAGCAGUUUGUGUGUGCGCCCGGCAGUCUGUCUGUAUGUGUAUUUAGCAGCCUGUCUGUAUUUAGCAGACUGCUGAAUACACACACAGACUGCUGAGUACACAGUCUGGUAAAUACACA
This is a non-coding RNA of Pelobates cultripes (western spadefoot toad), 226 nucleotides long. Lineage: Eukaryota; Metazoa; Chordata; Amphibia; Anura; Pelobatidae. The record is from the annotation of a GenBank genome assembly.